GCAUAUCGAUAGCGGAGGAAAAGAAACCAACAGGGAUUGCCUCAGUAACGGCGUAAGUGAAGCGGCAACAGCUCAAAUUUGAAAUCUGGCGCAAGCCCGAGUUGUAAUUUGCAGAGGGAUGUUUCGGGUGAGGCCGCGGUCCAAGUCCCUUGGAACAGGACGUCAUAGAGGGUGAGAACCCCGUACCUGGCCGUCGGCUCCCCCCGCUGUGAAACUCCUUCGACGAGUCGAGUUGUUUGGGAAUGCAGCUCUAAAUUGGUGGUAAAUUCCAUCUAAAGCUAAAUACCGGCCAGAGACCGAUAGCGCACAAGUAGAGUGAUCGAAAGAUGAAAAGCACUUUGAAAAGAGAGUUAAAAAGUACGUGAAAUUGUUGAAAGGGAAGCGCUUGCGGCCAGACUUGCCCGCGGUUGCUCAGCCCGCCCUUUGGCGGGUGCACUCUUCCGCGGUCAGGCCAGCAUCGGUUUGGGCGGUCGGACAAAGGCGCCGGGAACGUGGCCUCCCCUCGGGGAGGUGUUAUAGCCCGGUGCGCAAUGCGGCCAGCCCGGACCGAGGUUCGCGCUCUGCUAGGAUGCUGGCGUAAUGGCCGUAAGCGGCCCGUCUUGAAACACGGACCAAGGAGUCUAACAUCUAUGCGAGUGUUUGGGUGUCAAACCCGUGCGCGUAAUGAAAGUGAACGGAGGUGGGAACCGCAAGGUGCACCAUCGACCGAUCCCGAUGUCUUCGGAAGGAUUUGAGUAAGAGCAUAGCUGUUGGGACCCGAAAGAUGGUGAACUAUGCGUGAAUAGGGUGAAGCCAGAGGAAACUCUGGUGGAGGCUCGCAGCGGUUCUGACGUGCAAAUCGAUCGUCAAAUUUGCGUAUAGGGGGCGAAAGACUAAUCGAACCAUUUAGUAGCUGGUUCCUGCG
This 904-nucleotide ribosomal RNA is filed under the name Venturia cerasi. RNAcentral describes it as "LSU rRNA". It matches the Rfam family "Eukaryotic large subunit ribosomal RNA", at positions 38 to 962 of the family's 3401-position model. The record is from RNAcentral. Lineage: Eukaryota; Fungi; Ascomycota; Dothideomycetes; Venturiales; Venturiaceae.